GAAAUGCGAUAAGUAAUGUGAAUUGCUGAAUUCAGUGAAUCAUCGAAUCUUUGAACGCACAUUGCGCCCGCCAGCACUCUGGCGGGCAUGCCUGUUCGAGCGUCAUUUCAACCCUCAGAACCCCUUGCGGGAUCUGGCGUUGGGGAUUGGCAUCCAGCCAGCCCCGAAAUCUAGUGGCGGUCCCUCCGCGACCUCCCCUGUGCAGUAGCGAUACCUCGCAGCGGGACAGCGGUCUGACCACGCCGUAAAACCCCCAACUUCUCAAGGUUGACCUCGAAUCAGGUAGGAAUACCCGCUGAACUUAAGC
RNAcentral lists this unclassified non-coding RNA (307 nucleotides) under plant metagenome. RNAcentral's name for it is "partial contains 5.8S ribosomal RNA, internal transcribed spacer 2, and large subunit ribosomal RNA". The stretch from base 1 to 105 matches the Rfam family "5.8S ribosomal RNA", at positions 50 to 154 of the family's 154-position model. The record is from RNAcentral.